Molecule: ribosomal RNA, 623 nt
Filed under: uncultured bacterium
Lineage: Bacteria
Description: bacterial SSU rRNA
Rfam family: Bacterial small subunit ribosomal RNA
Source: RNAcentral
GCUGGCGGCGUGCCUAACACAUGCAAGUCGAACGAGAAAGUGGAGCAAUCCAUGAGUAAAGUGGCGACCGGGUGAGUAACACGUGACUGACCUACCUCCGAGUGGGGAAUAACUCCGGGAAACCGGGGCUAAUACCGCAUAACAUCGCAAGAUCAAAGCAGCAAUGCGCUUGGAGAGGGGGUCGCGGCUGAUUAGCUCGUUGGCGGGGUAACGGCCCACCAAGGCGAAGAUCGGUAUCCGGCCUGAGAGGGCGCACGGACACACUGGAACUGAAACACGGUCCAGACUCCUACGGGAGGCAGCAGUGGGGAAUUUUGCGCAAUGGGGGAAACCCUGACGCAGCAACGCCGCGUGGAGGAUGAAGCCCUUUGGGGCGUAAACUCCUUUCGACUCGGACGAUAAUGACGGUACGAGUGGAAGAAGCACCGGCUAACUCUGUGCCAGCAGCCGCGGUAAUACAGAGGGUGCGAGCGUUGUUCGGAAUUAUUGGGCGUAAAGGGCGCGUANGCGGUGCGGUAAGUCACCUGUGAAAUCUCCCGGCUUAACUGGGAGCCUGCAGGCGAAACUACCGUGCUGGAGUGUGGGAGAGGUGCGUGGAAUUCCCGGUGUAGCGGUGAAAUGCG